This 253-nucleotide ribosomal RNA is filed under the name uncultured bacterium. RNAcentral describes it as "partial 16S ribosomal RNA". It matches the Rfam family "Bacterial small subunit ribosomal RNA", at positions 524 to 776 of the family's 1533-position model. The record is from RNAcentral.
GACAGAGGGUGCAAACGUUGUUCGGAAUUAUUGGGCGUAAAGCGCGCGCAGGCGGCCUUUUAAGUCUGAUGUGAAAGCCCACGGCUCAACCGUGGAAGGUCAUUGGAAACUGAAAGGCUUGAGUACAGAAGAGGAAAGCGGAAUUCCACGUGUAGCGGUGAAAUGCGUAGAGAUGUGGAGGAACACCAGUGGCGAAGGCGGCUUUCUGGUCUGUAACUGACGCUGAGGUGCGAAAGCGUGGGGAGCAAACAGG